This 406-nucleotide ribosomal RNA is filed under the name uncultured bacterium. RNAcentral describes it as "partial 16S ribosomal RNA". It matches the Rfam family "Bacterial small subunit ribosomal RNA", at positions 30 to 526 of the family's 1533-position model. The record is from RNAcentral.
AUUGAACGCUGGCGGCAGGCCUAACACAUGCAAGUCGAGUGAGCGGCGGACGGGUGAGUAAUGUAUGGGGAUCUGCCCGAUAGAGGGGGAUAACUACUGGCAACGGUGGCUAAUACCGCAUACGAUCGGAUGAACCCAUAUGGGAUUAGCUAGUAGGUGGGGUAAAGGCUCACCUAGGCGACGAUCCCUAGCUGGUCUGAGAGGCUGACCGGCCACACUGGAACUGAGACACGGUCCAGACUCCUACGGGAGGGAGCAGUGGGGAAUAUUGCAAAAUGGGCGCAAGCCUGAUGCAGCAAUGCCGCGUGUAUGAAGAAGGCCUUCGGGUUGUAAAGUACUGUCAGCGAGGAGGCGUUACUCGCAGAAGAAGCACCGGCUAACUCCGUGCCAGCCGCCGCGGUAAUUC